Long non-coding RNA from Lytechinus pictus (painted urchin), 3953 nucleotides. RefSeq lists it as uncharacterized. The record is from RefSeq and is a predicted model, not a curated record. The transcript is spliced from 3 exons. NCBI's taxonomy places the organism in Eukaryota, Metazoa, Echinodermata, Echinoidea, Temnopleuroida, Toxopneustidae.
GAUGUACUAUUUAUUUUCGUGCCGAGUUCGGAGACUCCCUACAGCGUGAAAACACACAAUCCUAUAACGAUUGAAGAAGCAAUCUGGUAUUGGGCUCGAACCAAGUUCACGGCAUAAAUCACCAGGGGAAUCCGUCAGGAGCAGGGUUGAUUUUACGACCGAAUAGUUCACUCGGGUAGACGUCAAGAAGCGAAACCCACAGGAAAGUCUGGAAGAUGGAAGACCUACCAAACGGUAAUGUGGAAGAAUUCAGAAAAUCUGACGGUUACGACGCGAAGAUUUCACAAGAAAAUCUCACCGAUGUAAAACCAAAGUUUACCACAGGAAAACCGACUGUAUGGCUGGUAAUUUCUGUCAUCGCCGUGACUUUCGGGAGCUCGGCCCAGUACGGGUAUGGUAUUGGAGUUCUCACUGGUCCAUCUUUGGUAAGUCAUUGUUUAUCUUUUUAAUCUUUAUAAUGUUUGAUUUGGAAUAGAUGGGUUUAUUAUUUGCACUGCUCCACGCACUCGUAUCAUGCUUUAAUAUGUUUUAUCACUAUGAUUAAGUAAAAAGUUUUUUAAUCCUUUUUUUUUCUAAGCCUUAAUCUAGGCCAAACUUAAAGUUAAUUGAAUUAAAUAACCUUGGUUUGCCUGGACGGGUUUGAUAAUAAAUUUAGACUCUCCAGCGUUCAAAGUCAUUAUAGAUCUACUAAAUGUAUAGACCCGUUCGAACAUUUGUAAGAAGUUUUAGCUUAAUGUGUUCAUUGUAUUAAAUUCAAGUUUCUCAAAUAAAGUUCUAGGCCCCCUAUCCCUAAAAUGAUCUUGAAUGUUGAUGAGUGAUGUUGACGUCUUGAAGUGGUGUGUCGGAUUGAUCGGACGAACAUGACUGAUACAUUUGUUGAUAUUGAUAUGGAAAACGUCUUUGAAAUCUUGAUUUUCUUUGUGAAAACUGUCCUUAAGGUUAAUGAUUUUAGAUAAAAAAAUUCAUGAUUUCUGUGAUUGAAAAUGUAGUUAAACUGUUCACGAUAUCACCGAAAUUCAUACUUAAUUUCUUAGUUUAUUACUGGAGUAGAGGUAUGAUAAGGCAUGAUGCAUUUUCGUAACUUUGAGAUGAGCAUCUGAAAAAAAUAUGGGAAGAAAUUUACAAAUUCAGUUCCCAUUUCCGAUGAAUAAAGUUAAUCUCUAAGAAGAAGAAGAAAAGAUAUAGGCCGUACUCAACCCGUCAAUCGUGUUUCUUGGUUCUCAAAAUCUAACAAACGGCAAAUCAAAUAAAAUUUGAAAUUUACAAUUGCAACUCAUGUUCCCUGGUGACAUUCUCCCCUUUCACCCUUUUACUAAUCAGAGAAUUGCACCUCUUUCAAAGCACGCGAUCAAAAGGGGUGAUCAAUUCGUUGAUAAAAGAAAUAUUUCGAAUAAAACACCUUGACAAUAAAGCGUGCGUUGGAUAGCUGCCAAUUCGGAAGUUUCAUGGUCACUACUGGUCAGUGACCAAACGAGCUGAAUGGACCCUGGAUUUUGGACGAUUUUCGGAACCACUGACGCCUAAACAGUUAAGGAGACUACUAUUCAUUUCCAAAUAUCCCUGUCAUAUUUAAUACUGACCCUUCAAUAUGAUUGACAUCAUUUGAUUAGUGUGAACAGUUGUGAACUAGUAAUUUUGUCGCAGGGUGAGAUGCGUUCGAUCGUGUAAUAUUCAGAAAUCAAACACAACCCCUAAAUAUAUACGGCUUUUAACGGUUUUAUAAUAUACAAAUAUUUAUAACAUAUUAUAACAUUUUGAUUUCCGUUAUGUGACUGACGUUCAUGAUCUUUGGCUUACGCAAGAAGUUUAGUGCAAUUUCCAACCCAAGCAUCGUGACAAACGUGCCCCGAAUUACAAUUUCCUGAUCGUAAUCCCUCUUUCUUUGUCACAGUUUGAUUUUACUGAAUAAAUCUGUGCUGUCUUCUCUCCAAGAAGCUUUAGAUGUCAGUUAGAGGAGAAGGAGAAAAGAAAGAGCUCGACAGUUUUUCCCAAAUAUUAAAAAGAAUAAUAUAAAAAGAAGUAGUUUGGCUUACGUUACCACCUCCCGGCCACCUCCCCUCUGCAAACACUAGUACAGUCUUGACAUAACGUCGUAAGCAAAUAAUUAGAUAAAGUUGUCCAUAUUUCACUGCAACGUUCCACCGGAUUUACAGACAGAUAUUAGAAGUAACUGUUUUCUGAAGUGGAAAAAGUGUAGCUCAGUAGCUACAACCAUUUUAGUUUCAGUGAAACUUUUUAGCAAACGAUAAGCUAUCAUUUAUCAUAUACAUGGCAUAUUAAAUAAUAACAAAGAGGUAAGAUUGAUUUUCAGGUGGGUCGAAUUUUGGCGGAGCGCAGGAAGAAGGACACUCAGAUCUUGGGAAAGAUAUUUCGAAAGAUAUUCGAUUUCCAGGGGAAUUUUGUUUGUCGAUAGUAACAUUGCCAGACAGCUUAACUUAAAAAAACAUUGCCGCAUGAUCAAUAUUAAAUUGCUUAUAGGCCGAUUGAUAAUUCAAAUUUAGUAAAAUGACUCUAUUUAUUAAAAGGCAUUAAGGGGGAAAUAACAAAUAAACGGAAUAUAAGUAAUUUUUUCCAUUAUGUAGGCCUAUAUGUGAUGUCAAAUUAUGACAUAAAUAAAAUCACAGAGAAAUUAUACAUGUAUUGUGGUGAAAUUUCUUGAACAUUUCAAGAUGCUGAAACAAAACCGACAGGGGAAUCAAUAUAGUCCUAUACAUGUAUGUAUGCACUAAAUAGCCCUCCCACAUUUAGGGACUAUCUACUUUUUAACGAUUCAUAUUUAGUGUGUGACCUUUUCGAGGGUUUAGUGAAUUCAAUGUCAGAUUAAACAAUUGUUCUGAAGUGUUGAGUGGUUAUUAUGUGACUUCAAAAUGUGAUUCUGUUUGUUUUGGUUAUGACUCAAACUUGAAUUUGCACUCAUACACGCAUACUGAUGUGCGUAGCAUGGGGGCCACUCCUACAGUGCCCCGCCCCCGUCCCGCCCAUACCCAUCCCCUAUUAACCCCUUCCAUCCGUCGUUUCACCUGCGCCAUCUUCUAAUUCCAUCAUCACGUUUUUUCUCAUAUCCGUCCGCAAGGAUUACCUGUACCUCUCCCUGAUACAGGUAACCUUAAUAUGUUUUAUCCAGUCGAAUCUAUUUAGGACCACGGAAAAUAUUACUGGUAGAAAUUUUACUUCUGGAGACAUGGCGUACAGAUUAUGUUUUAGUUUUACAUAAUCUGGUACAUGCAGGGAGAGAUCUAGCUUUUUCCAAGGAGGGAAUUCGAUUUUGACAGAGAAAUUUGACAAGCAAAAAUGAAUAAAUAAAUAAAAGGGGGAGGGGGCUUCACUACAAAAUGCAGGUCAUUUUGGUACCGAUGAUAUUUUUUACAAGCCCCCCGUAAAGGGUUCAUAAUGAAGGGAAUUUGAGGUUUGCUCCAAAAUGUAGGUCAUUACUUUUUUUCAUUUACUUGGCAGCGGCCCAAGGGGGGGGGGGGGGUUAAAAACCCCUAACCCCCGUAGACCCGUCACUGACACGUACAAAAUAACUUUGACUUGGGCGAAUAAGUUUAUUUUAGGUCGACUUAAAAUAAAAGUUGAGCUGUAUACCCUCUCCUUUCCCUCCCUUCAUAUCUGCAAACCUUCCAAUCUUACCCCCCCCCUCCUAACCAAAUGAGAUGACACAUGCAUGUGUAACCGACAUGAGAUAGAUGCAGAGACUAUUAUCCUGAGAUAAUCGGCAUAGUGUAGGAGUUGGCGAGGUUUCAGAUCGUUCCUUCUGAUGGACGAGGAGCCUUUUUUAUGAAUGAGUCAGGAUCCUGUCUAACAUCUCUUCAAGUUCACCAAGGGUCAUACAGAGUUCUCAUACAGUCUCAUCAUCAUUGCAUUAAUGAUAUGAGAUGAAAAUUGCAAACAUUUAUUAUUAAAAGAAUCCGCUCAAAGUUGGGCGGCGCCACAAUAAUGAAAAGUGAAUACUG